AUGAUAUUCGCCAACCCUAUUCGCCAGGAAAAUGAUAGCCUGCUACUCGUACUCGACGAAUUUGGUAGUGCCACAGGGCUCCGUAUCAACUUAGAGAAAUCUUUAGUAGCCCCGAUUAGGUGUAGAGACAUCGAUCUUCAGGACACACUUCAUGGUUUUGGCGGUAAUGUUGUAGGAUUCCCGCUGCGCUACCUUGGCCUCCCCAUAACAGUCUCCUGAGUGCACCCAGAUCAUCUUCAAUUCAUCGUCGACAGAAUGAGGGCUAGACUGGCGGCAUGGAAAGGGCGCCUCAUCUCGAUCGUGGGCCGGCGGGGUCUCGUCCGGUCCGUCCUAAUGGCGCUGCCCACCUUUGCCCUCAUGGUUCUACAUGUCCCAAAGAAGCUUCUUAAGGACAUUUACAAAUGUAGGCGGCGUUUUCUCUGGCAAGACAAGGAACUCUCUGGUGGCAACUGCAAGGUUAACCGGUCCACCGUUUGCACCCCGGCGGAUUAUGGAGGUCUUGGUGUUCAUGACUUGCAGCGCUUUAGGUGUGUGUUGAGCCUCAGGUCGCUUUGGCUAUGA
RNAcentral lists this ribosomal RNA (561 nucleotides) under Triticum aestivum (bread wheat). RNAcentral's name for it is "partial small subunit ribosomal RNA". The record is from RNAcentral. Lineage: Eukaryota; Viridiplantae; Streptophyta; Magnoliopsida; Poales; Poaceae.